RNAcentral lists this transfer RNA (74 nucleotides) under Marmota monax (woodchuck). RNAcentral's name for it is "tRNA.Ala". Lineage: Eukaryota; Metazoa; Chordata; Mammalia; Rodentia; Sciuridae. The record is from RNAcentral.
GCUGGGGUGAAGCUCGGUGGUGGAGCACUUGCCUAGCAUGCAUGAGGUCCUGUGUUCAAUCCCCAGUUCCAGGG